RNAcentral lists this small nucleolar RNA (137 nucleotides) under Jaculus jaculus (lesser Egyptian jerboa). RNAcentral's name for it is "Small nucleolar RNA SNORA5 (ENSJJAG00000007236.1)". It matches the Rfam family "Small nucleolar RNA SNORA5". Rfam says of the family: ACA5 is a member of the H/ACA class of snoRNA that guide the sites of modification of uridines to pseudouridines. The record is from Rfam by way of RNAcentral. Lineage: Eukaryota; Metazoa; Chordata; Mammalia; Rodentia; Dipodidae.
UGCAGUCAAGUCAAAUUCAGUCCCUGUCCUGUCAUGGUGGGAACUGGCCCAGAUGGCUGCCACAGCAAGCUCUGCUGCUCAUGGGCCCUAGGUCUCCUUACUCUGGGACCCGGGGAUAAGUUUGGUUGCAGACAUUG